GACGAACGCUGGCGGCGUGCCUAAUACAUGCAAGUAGAACGCUGAAGAGAGGAGCUUGCUCUUCUUGGAUGAGUUGCGAACGGGUGAGUAACGCGUAGGUAACCUGCCUUGUAGCGGGGGAUAACUAUUGGAAACGAUAGCUAAUACCGCAUAACAAUGGAUGACACAUGUCAUUUAUUUGAAAGGGGCAAUUGCUCCACUACAAGAUGGACCUGCGUUGUAUUAGCUAGUAGGUGAGGUAAUGGCUCACCUAGGCGACGAUACAUAGCCGACCUGAGAGGGGGAUCGGCCACACUGGGACUGAGACACGGCCCAGACUCCUACGGGAGGCAGCAGUAGGGAAUCUUCGGCAAUGGGGGCAACCCUGACCGAGCAACGCCGCGUGAGUGAAGAAGGUUUUCGGAUCGUAAAGCUCUGUUGUAAGUCAAGAACGGGUGUGAGAGUGGAAAGUUCACACUGUGACGGUAGCUUACCAGAAAGGGACGGCUAACUACGUG
RNAcentral lists this ribosomal RNA (497 nucleotides) under uncultured bacterium. RNAcentral describes it as "partial 16S ribosomal RNA". It matches the Rfam family "Bacterial small subunit ribosomal RNA", at positions 28 to 507 of the family's 1533-position model. The record is from RNAcentral.